GCCAAAAAUCUAGCCCACUAUAAUUAUGUCUUCUUCAUGACUAAACAAAAUAUUUUAUUAUUAAAGUAAAGACGAUUGAAAUUUUAAUAAGAGCUAUAUCAAUGUACCGUAAGGGAAAAAUGAAAUAAAAUGAAAAAAUCAAGCACAAAAAAGUAAAGCUUAAAACUUGUACCUUUCGCAUCAUGGUUUAACUAGUUCAACUAAGCAAAAAGAAUUUUAGUUUAACUCCCCGAAACCAAGUGAGCUACCCCAGGACAGCUAAACGAGCAAACCCAUCCCUGUUGCAAAAGGGUGGGAAGAUCCUGUAGUAGCGGUGACAGACCCAACGAACUUGGUGAUAGCUGGUUACUCAAAAAAAGAAUUUUAGUCCAGCCUAAAGAUUUUUUCCCAUAGCAUUAAUUUAAACUUUAGAGUAAUUCAAAUAAGGUACAGCCUAUUUGAAACAGGACACAACCUCCAACAGCGGGUAAUUAUAAUUUAUUAAACCAAGUAGGCCUAAAAGCAGCCACCUUAAAAGAGCGUCAAAGCCUGAUUCCCCCCCUUCUUCUAAUGCCUUCGCUAAUCCAGAACCCCUCACCCAUACUGAGUACUUCUAUAUUAUUAUAGAAACUUUUAUGUUAAAACUAGUAACAAGAAAACCUUCUCUUAAAUGUGAGUGUAAAUCAGAAUGGACCUCCCACUGAUAUUUAUUCAACAACUAGCAGCACCUCUUCCCAGUAAACCCUGCUUUUUUAACUGUUAACCUAACACCAGAACAUUUCAAGAAAGAUUAAACGAAAAAGAAGGAACUCGGCAAAUACUUAUCCCGCCUGUUUACCAAAAACAUCGCCUCUUGUCUUAAAUAAGAGGUCUAGCCUGCCCAGUGACUCUAGUUCAACGGCCGCGGUAUACUGACCGUGCAAAGGUAGCGUAAUCACUUGUUUUUUAAAUGAAGACUAGUAUGAAAGGCACCACGAGGAUCAAACUGUCUCCUUUUUCUAAUCUGUGAAACUAAUCUUCCCGUGAAAAAACGGGAAUCUUGAUAUAAGACGAGAAGACCCUAUGGAGCUUCAAACUAUAGUAACUGCUUUAUAAUAUUUUGUACAUCUUUACUGUACGUUUUGGGUUGGGGUGACCGCGGARUAAAACUUAUCCUCCAUGCUGAAAAGAGACCUCCUUUAAACAAAGAGCUUCAACUCGAUGCAUCAACAAAUUGACAGCAAUUGACCCAUUUUUGAUCAACGAAACAAGUUACCCUAGGGAUAACAGCGCAAUCCACUUUGAAAGCCCCUAUCGACAAGUGGGUUUACGACCUCGAUGUUGGAUCAGGAUAUCCAAGUGGUGCAGCCGCUACUAAAGGUUCGUUUGUUCAACGAUUUAAAUCCUACGUGAUCUGAGU
RNAcentral lists this ribosomal RNA (1378 nucleotides) under Ischnocnema juipoca (Souzas robber frog). Its description in RNAcentral is "partial 16S ribosomal RNA". It matches the Rfam family "Bacterial large subunit ribosomal RNA", at positions 179 to 2610 of the family's 2925-position model. Lineage: Eukaryota; Metazoa; Chordata; Amphibia; Anura; Brachycephalidae. The record is from RNAcentral.